CCUACGGGAGGCAGCAGUGAGGAAUAUUGGUCAAUGGGCGGGAGCCUGAACCAGCCAAGUCGCGUGCGGGAAGACGGUCCUAUGGAUUGUAAACCUCUUUAGGCGGGGAGCAAUGCCGGGCACGUGUGCCCGGAGGGAGAGUACCCGCAGAAUAAGCAUCGGCUAACUCCGUGCCAGCAGCCGCGGUAAUACGGAGGAUGCGAGCGUUAUCCGGAUUUAUUGGGUUUAAAGGGUGCGUAGGCGGAUUUUUAAGUCAGCGGUAAAAUGUCCGGGCUCAACCCGGGCCGGCCGUUGAAACUGGGGGUCUUGAGUGUGCGAGAGGUAUGCGGAAUGUGUGGUGUAGCGGUGAAAUGCAUAGAGAUCACGCAGAACUCCGAUUGCGAAGGCAGCAUACCGGCGCCCGACUGACGCUGAGGCACGAAAGCGUGGGGAGCGAACAGGAUUAGAUACCCUAGUAGUC
Molecule: ribosomal RNA, 460 nt
Filed under: uncultured bacterium
Lineage: Bacteria
Description: partial 16S ribosomal RNA
Rfam family: Bacterial small subunit ribosomal RNA
Source: RNAcentral